CAUGGAGCUGAAAUCAGUCGAAGAUACCAGCUGGCUGCAACUGUUUAUUAAAAACACAGCACUGUGCAAACACGAAAGUGGACGUAUACGGUGUGACGCCUGCCCGGUGCCGGAAGGUUAAUUGAUGGGGUUAUCCGUAAGGAGAAGCUCUUGAUCGAAGCCCCGGUAAACGGCGGCCGUAACUAUAACGGUCCUAAGGUAGCGAAAUUCCUUGUCGGGUAAGUUCCGACCUGCACGAAUGGCGUAAUGAUGGCCAGGCUGUCUCCACCCGAGACUCAGUGAAAUUGAACUCGCUGUGAAGAUGCAGUGUACCCGCGGCAAGACGGAAAGACCCCGUGAACCUUUACUAUAGCUUGACACUGAACACUGGUCCUUGAUGUGUAGGAUAGGUGGGAGGCUUUGAAGUGUGGACGCCAGUCUGCAUGGAGCCAUCCUUGAAAUACCACCCUUUAAUGGCUGGUGUUCUAACGUGGGCCCGUAAUCCGGGUUGCGGACAGUGUCUGGUGGGUAGUUUGACUGGGGCGGUCUCCUCCUAAAGAGUAACGGAGGAGCACGAAGGUCAGCUAAUCCUGGUCGGACAUCAGGAGGUUAGUGCAAUGGCAUAAGCUGGCUUGACUGCGAGCGUGACGGCGCGAGCAGGUGCGAAAGCAGGUCAUAGUGAUCCGGUGGUUCUGAAUGGAAGGGCCAUCGCUCAACGGAUAAAAGGUACUCCGGGGAUAACAGGCUGAUACCGCCCAAGAGUUCAUAUCGACGGCGGUGUUUGGCACCUCGAUGUCGGCUCAUCACAUCCUGGGGCUGAAGUAGGUCCCAAGGGUAUGGCUGUUCGCCAUUUAAAGUGGUACGCGAGCUGGGUUUAGAACGUCGUGAGACAGUUCGGUCCCUAUCUGCCGUGGGCGCUGGAGAAUUGAGGGGGGCUGCUCCUAGUACGAGAGGACCGGAGUGGACGCAUCACUGGUGUUCGGGUUGUCAUGCCAAUGGCAUUGCCCGGUAGCUAAAUGCGGAAGAGAUAAGUGCUGAAAGCAUCUAAGUACGAAACUUGCCCCGAGAUGAGUUCUCCCUGACCCUUUAAGGGUCCUGAAGGAACGUUGAAGACGACGACGUUGAUAGGCCGGGUGUGUAAGCGCAGCGAUGCGUUGAGCUAACCGGUACUAAUGAACCGUGAGGCUUAACCUU
Molecule: ribosomal RNA, 1173 nt
Filed under: Klebsiella pasteurii
Lineage: Bacteria; Pseudomonadati; Pseudomonadota; Gammaproteobacteria; Enterobacterales; Enterobacteriaceae
Description: partial 23S ribosomal RNA
Rfam family: Bacterial large subunit ribosomal RNA
Source: RNAcentral